This 75-nucleotide transfer RNA is filed under the name Actinomycetes bacterium. RNAcentral's name for it is "tRNA-Ala". It matches the Rfam family "tRNA". From Rfam's summary of the family: Transfer RNA (tRNA) molecules are approximately 80 nucleotides in length. Their secondary structure includes four short double-helical elements and three loops (D, anti-codon, and T loops). Lineage: Bacteria; Bacillati; Actinomycetota; Actinomycetes. The record is from RNAcentral.
GGGGACGUAGCUCAGCUGGCUAGAGCACCUGCUUUGCAAGCAGGGGGUCGUGGGUUCGACUCCCAUCGUCUCCAC